RNAcentral lists this ribosomal RNA (465 nucleotides) under Vreelandella stevensii. RNAcentral describes it as "partial 16S ribosomal RNA". It matches the Rfam family "Bacterial small subunit ribosomal RNA", at positions 338 to 795 of the family's 1533-position model. The record is from RNAcentral. Lineage: Bacteria; Pseudomonadati; Pseudomonadota; Gammaproteobacteria; Oceanospirillales; Halomonadaceae.
CCUACGGGUGGCAGCAGUGGGGAAUAUUGGACAAUGGGCGAAAGCCUGAUCCAGCCAUGCCGCGUGUGUGAAGAAGGCCUUCGGGUUGUAAAGCACUUUCAGUGGGGAAGAAAGCCUUGGGGCUAAUACCCCCGAGGAAGGACAUCACCAACAGAAGAAGCACCGGCUAAAUCCGUGCCAGCAGCCGCGGUAAUACGGAGGGUGCGAGCGUUAAUCGGAAUUACUGGGCGUAAAGCGCGCGUAGGCGGUCUGAUAAGCCGGUUGUGAAAGCCCCGGGCUCAACCUGGGAACGGCAUCCGGAACGGUCAGGCUAGAGUGCAGGAGAGGAAGGUAGAAUUCCCGGUGUAGCGGUGAAAUGCGUAGAGAUCGGGAGGAAUACCAGUGGCGAAGGCGGCCUUCUGGACUGACACUGACGCUGAGGUGCGAAAGCGUGGGUAGCAAACAGGAUUAGAUACCCUUGUAGUC